GAGUUUGAUCGUGGCUCAGGACGAACGCUGGCGGCGUGCCUAAUACAUGCAAGUCGAGCGGAUCUUCAUUAGCUUGCUUUUGAAGAUCAGCGGCGGACGGGUGAGUAACACGUGGGCAACCUGCCUGUAAGACUGGGAUAACUUCGGGAAACCGGAGCUAAUACCGGAUGAUCCUUUUCCUCUCAUGAGGAAAAGCUGAAAGACGGUUUCGGCUGUCACUUACAGAUGGGCCCGCGGCGCAUUAGCUAGUUGGUGAGGUAACGGCUCACCAAGGCGACGAUGCGUAGCCGACCUGAGAGGGUGAUCGGCCACACUGGGACUGAGACACGGCCCAGACUCCUACGGGAGGCAGCAGUAGGGAAUCUUCCGCAAUGGACGAAAGUCGUGACGGAGCAACGCCGCGUGAGCGAUG
Molecule: ribosomal RNA, 412 nt
Filed under: uncultured microorganism
Description: bacterial SSU rRNA
Rfam family: Bacterial small subunit ribosomal RNA
Source: RNAcentral